CUGGAAUGAUGUAGCUUAGCCAAAUCAGACAUUUGACGUGCUCCAUAAGGCAUGCUCUUGAAUGUUUGUUUUGUGGAUAUUGUUGAGGUGCUAAAGUAAUCUCUUCUAUACCCUUGAACAAGCUAUAUAUAUAAGAUGCCUUCUGUUGAAGCGCGUCUCCCUGAUGAUAAACUAGAGAUCGGUUGCUUUCUGACCAGA
Small nucleolar RNA from Cephalotus follicularis, 198 nucleotides. It matches the Rfam family "small nucleolar RNA snoR127". Lineage: Eukaryota; Viridiplantae; Streptophyta; Magnoliopsida; Oxalidales; Cephalotaceae. The record is from Rfam.